RNAcentral lists this ribosomal RNA (675 nucleotides) under Erysiphe australiana. Its description in RNAcentral is "partial large subunit ribosomal RNA". It matches the Rfam family "Eukaryotic large subunit ribosomal RNA", at positions 120 to 804 of the family's 3401-position model. The record is from RNAcentral. Lineage: Eukaryota; Fungi; Ascomycota; Leotiomycetes; Helotiales; Erysiphaceae.
AUCUGGCUCUGGUAACGGAGUCCGAGUUGUAAUUUGUAGAAGAUGCUUUGGGUUGCGGGCCCGGCCUAAGUUCCUUGGAACAGGACGUCAUAGAGGGUGAGAAUCCCGUAUGCGGCCGUGGCUUGCGCCUGUGUAAAGCUCUUUCGACGAGUCGAGUUGUUUGGGAAUGCAGCUCAAAAUGGGUGGUAAAUUUCAUCUAAAGCUAAAUAUAGGCCAGAGACCGAUAGCGCACAAGUAGAGUGAUCGAAAGAUGAAAAGCACUUUGGAAAGAGAGUUAAACAGUACGUGAAAUUGUUGAAAGGGAAGCGCUUGCAACUAGACUUGGGCAUCGCUGAUCAUCCGGGGGUAUCUCCGGUGCACUCGACGAUGCACAGGCCAGCAUCGGUUUGGAUGGUUGGAUAAAGGCUGUGGGAACGUGGCUCCUUUCGAGGAGUGUUAUAGCCCACGGUGCAAUGCAGCCCAUCCGGACCGAGGACCGCGCCCUUCGGGGCUAGGAUGCUGGCGUAAUGGUUGUAAGCGACCCGUCUUGAAACACGGACCAAGGAGUCUAACAUCUAUGCGAGUGUUUGGGCGUCAAACCCAUACGCGGAAUGAAAGUGAACGUAGGUGAGAACCCUUUUGGGGUGCAUCAUCGACCGAUCCUGAUGUCUUCGGAUGGAUUUGAGUAAGAGCAUA